This is a non-coding RNA of Saimiri boliviensis boliviensis (Bolivian squirrel monkey), 300 nucleotides long. Lineage: Eukaryota; Metazoa; Chordata; Mammalia; Primates; Cebidae. The record is from RefSeq and is a predicted model, not a curated record.
UCACAAGAGGGCUCGAGUGGAGCUGGAGAGAGCGGCCAGCACCAGUGCCAGGAACUAUGAGCGCGAGGUUGACCGCAACCAGGAGCUCCUGACCCGCAUCCGGCAGCUUCAGGAGCGUGAGGCCGGGGCGGAGGAGAAGAUGCAGGAGCAGCUGGAGCGCAGCAGGCAGUGUCAGCAGAGCCUGGAUGCUACCAGCAAGAGGCUGCGUGAGAAAGAGGACAGCCUGGCCCAGGCCGGCGAGACCAUCAACACACUGAAGGGGAGGAUCUCGGAACUGCAGUGGAACGUGAUGGAUCAGGA